RNAcentral lists this ribosomal RNA (751 nucleotides) under uncultured Actinomyces sp. RNAcentral describes it as "bacterial SSU rRNA". It matches the Rfam family "Bacterial small subunit ribosomal RNA", at positions 28 to 776 of the family's 1533-position model. Lineage: Bacteria; Bacillati; Actinomycetota; Actinomycetes; Actinomycetales; Actinomycetaceae. The record is from RNAcentral.
GACGAACGCUGGCGGCGUGCUUAACACAUGCAAGUCGAACGCUGAAGCCUAGCUUGCUGGGUGGAUGAGUGGCGAACGGGUGAGUAACACGUGAGUAACCUGCCCUCUUCUUUGGGAUAACGCCCGGAAACGGGUGCUAAUACUGGAUAUUCACUGAUUCUCGCAUGGGGGUUGGUGGAAAGGUUUUUUCUGGUGGGGGAUGGGCUCGCGGCCUAUCAGCUUGUUGGUGGGGUGAUGGCCUACCAAGGCUUUGACGGGUAGCCGGCCUGAGAGGGUGACCGGUCACAUUGGGACUGAGAUACGGCCCAGACUCCUACGGGAGGCAGCAGUGGGGAAUAUUGCACAAUGGGCGAAAGCCUGAUGCAGCGACGCCGCGUGAGGGAUGGAGGCCUUCGGGUUGUAAACCUCUUUCGCUCAUGGUCAAGCCGCAACUUAGGGUUGUGGUGAGGGUAGUGGAUAAAGAAGCGCCGGCUAACUACGUGCCAGCAGCCGCGGUAAUACGUAGGGCGCGAGCGUUGUCCGGAAUUAUUGGGCGUAAAGGGCUUGUAGGCGGUUGGUCGCGUCUGCCGUGAAAUCCUCUGGCUUAACUGGGGGCGUGCGGUGGGUACGGGCUGACUUGAGUGCGGUAGGGGAGACUGGAACUCCUGGUGUAGCGGUGGAAUGCGCAGAUAUCAGGAAGAACACCGGUGGCGAAGGCGGGUCUCUGGGCCGUUACUGACGCUGAGGAGCGAAAGCGUGGGGAGCGAACAGG